UGAGGAAUAUUGGACAAUGGGCGCAAGCCUGACGGAGCAAUGCCGCGUGUGGGAUGAAGCGUCUCUGACGUGUAAACCACUGUCAGGGGUUAGAAACAAUGAUCAACCCCAAAGGAAGUGGCGACUAACUCUGUGCCAGCAGUCGCGGUAAUACAGAGGCCACAAGCGUUAGUCGGAAUCACUGGGCUUAAAGGGUGCGUAGGCUGGUCCGCAAGCGUCUUGUGAAAGCCCUCGGCUCAACCGAGGAACAGCAGGGCGAACUGCGGAUCUUGAGGCAGGUAGGGGUCGCGAGAACAGUAGGUGGAGCGGUGAAAUGCGUAGAUAUCUACUGGAAUGCCGAUGGUGAAGACGCGCGACUGGGCCUGUCCUGACGCUGAGGCACGAAAGCGUGGGGAGCAAACAGGAUUAGAUACCCAGGUAGUCCCUGAGCGGGCUGGCAAGGCGCAU
Molecule: ribosomal RNA, 447 nt
Filed under: uncultured bacterium
Lineage: Bacteria
Description: bacterial SSU rRNA
Rfam family: Bacterial small subunit ribosomal RNA
Source: RNAcentral